GACUCUCUUUUCGGACUCAGCCCGCCUGCACCCAGGUGAAAUAAACAGCCUUGUUGCUCACACAAACGUGCAUGAAAUUUGGUACUGUGACCCGGAUCAGAGUACCUCCCUUGGGAGAUGAAUCCCCUGUCCUCCUGCUCUUUGCUCCAUGAGAAAGAUCCACCUAGGACCUCGGGUCCUCAGACCGACCAGCCCAAGGAACAUCUCACCAAUUUCAAAUCUGGACCCCACUGAAAAUCGGACUGUUCAACUCACCUGGCAGCCACUCCCAGAGCCCCUGGAACUCUGGGCCAAGGCUCUCUGACUCCUUCCCAGAUCUUUUCAGCUUAGCAGCUGAAGACUGACACUGCCCAAUCACCUCAGAAGCCCCCUAGACCAUCACGGAUGCCGAGCUUCAAGUAACUCUCACAGUGGAGGAAACGCGCAUGAAACAAACAAACAAAAAAACUCUUUUGGUAGCAGAAUAAAAAAACAAAAAAAGGACUUGUUCUUUUGGACUGAACUGUAUUUAAAUCUCAAAGGAUGGACAUCUCACAACCUUCCUACAGCAAGUACUGUGAGAAGUCAAAGGGGGAGAGAAAAAGAUAAUAAAAUAUAUCUUCAAAGAGGAGAAGAAAUCUGAUCUUUCUCUACGUCUGCUUAGUUGGCAUAACUUUAGGAUGUCCAUAAGUUGUGGCUUUCCUGGGAAAAUCUGAUUUUACACUGGUUAUCCCAACAUAAUAUUAAUGGUAUCCUCUUAGACUCUCAAUAGUGUCUGGUUUGGAUGACAAAUUCUGUGAUCUUUUUAGCCAACGGCUACUGAAGCUGUCAGAUUUAUUGCACAAAAUAUAUUUUUAAAAAUAAGUAGCACAAGAUGAAAUAUGGCCUCAAAUUUCUUGGUUAGUUUCCACUAGAAAGUUUUAAACAUUAAAAAGUACAAAAUUAAUUACAUUUAUUGAAUGAUAAAGUAUAACUAUUUGAGUGUUUAA
This 968-nucleotide long non-coding RNA is filed under the name Pongo abelii (Sumatran orangutan). Its description in RNAcentral is "lincRNA". Lineage: Eukaryota; Metazoa; Chordata; Mammalia; Primates; Hominidae. The record is from RNAcentral.